RNAcentral lists this ribosomal RNA (492 nucleotides) under uncultured bacterium. RNAcentral describes it as "partial 16S ribosomal RNA". It matches the Rfam family "Bacterial small subunit ribosomal RNA", at positions 29 to 507 of the family's 1533-position model. The record is from RNAcentral.
AGUGAACGCUGGCGGUAGGCCUAACACAUGCAAGUCGAACGGCAGCACAGUAAGAGCUUGCUCUUACGGGUGGCGAGUGGCGGACGGGAGAGGAAUACAUCGGAAUCUACUUUUUCGUGGGGGAUAACGUAGGGAAACUUACGCUAAUACCGCAUACGACCUACGGGUGAAAGCAGGGGAUCUUCGGACCUUGCGCGAUUGAAUGAGCCGAUGUCGGAUUAGCUAGUUGGCGGGGUAAAGGCCCACCAAGGCGACGAUCCGUAGCUGGUCUGAGAGGAUGAUGAGCCACACUGGAACUGAGACACGGUCCAGACUCCUACGGGAGGCAGCAGUGGGGAAUAUUGGACAAUGGGCGCAAGCCUGAUCCAGCCAUACCGCGUGGGUGAAGAAGGCCUUCGGGUUGUAAAGCCCUUUUGUUGGGAAAGAAAAGCAGCAGGUUAAUACCCCGCUGUUCUGACGGUACCCAAAGAAUAAGCACCGGCUAACUUCGUG